Molecule: long non-coding RNA, 3972 nt
Filed under: Piliocolobus tephrosceles (Ugandan red Colobus)
Lineage: Eukaryota; Metazoa; Chordata; Mammalia; Primates; Cercopithecidae
Description: lncRNA (ENSPTEG00000011868.1)
Source: RNAcentral
AUGAACGAUUACAAAAAGUUGAAGGAAAAAACAGAAAGGAUGGAAGGAGGGACAACAAACAGUAGUUCCAAUAGUGAGAACACAGAAAAAAAUAGUUACAAAAGUAAAAAUGACUUAGAAGAUAUGUUUGAAAUAAGUGAGAUAAAUGAUUACAAUACGAUAAUGAAAUACGAAUAUAUUUUAAAAUCUAAAUAUUUUAGUAGUAAUAUUAAUGUGUUACAUGCACAGAGAUUAAUAAAAGAAAAAUACGAAAUAGAGUUUCAUACAAAAGCAAAAGAAUUAAAAAGUAAUGUAUUAUAUAGUAUAAUAGAUAUUAAUGAGUUAAAUGGUUUAGAUGAAAAUAUGAGUAUAAAAAAAUAUUUUUUAAAAAAUUAUGAUAAAUUAAAUGAAUAUAAUUAUGUAAUUGGAAAUACAAAUUAUCCAUUAGGUUAUGAGAAAAAUAGUACUGGUACAUUUCGAAUAUAUUUAUUUAAAGUUAUGCCUAAAAAAACUUUGUUAAUAAGUAAAAAUAAUUUUGAUAUUUUUUUAAAAUGUGAGAUUCCUAAUAAUUAUGAUUCUAUAGCGGUUGAAAGGGAGUUAUAUUACGAAAUGUUAAAUUCGGAAAAUAAAAAAAAUUAUAACCCAAAUGUAAAUAAAAGAAGUAUUAAUUUUAUCAAAUAUAAUGAAGAAAUGUUAAAUUAUCAAAAUUUUAAUAAUAACUCGAAUAAUAAGAAAGAUAUUAUUUAUUAUAGUUAUUUGUAUAAAAUAAAAAACUCAGAACAAGUAAUUCCUUUUUUAUUAAUCGAAUUUGAGUUCAAAUGUUUAAGAAUCGAUAUAACUAUUCCUAUAUGUGAAUAUUGUUUUAGUACUAAUGCAUAUAGUUACUGUUAUAAUGAUAGGGUACAUUUGUGUGAUGUAUGUGAUAAAAAAUAUCAUAAUAAUAAUAGGAUUUUAAAAAAUCAUAAAAGAAUUCCUUUAUCAGAAUCACCAUUUCAAUUUGGUAAAUGUGUACAUCAUCCAAAUGAAUUGAUUGAAAACGCAUGUAUGUCAUGUUUUUGUGGUUUAUGUCCAAAAUGUGUUUUAAUAGGACCCCAUUCGAAAGGAGUAUAUAGAAAUCAUCCAAUAACAAAUAUAAAAGAUGCAUAUAUUUUAGCUCGUCAAAAAAAAACAUUAAGUGAUGUACAAUUAGAAGAUCGUAAAACAAAAGUACUUGAGUUAAUAAAAAAAAAACAUAAAUUAUUAGCCGAGAUUUAUUCUAAUUAUUCUUCUGUACAAAAAAAUGUAGAUAAAUUAUAUGCACAUAUGUUGAAUGAAAUAAAAAGUAUUAAACAAAAAAAACUAAAUUAUUUGAUGGCAUUAAAAAGAUCAGUUUUAUCUGAAUUGUUAAUAAUAGAAUGGAUGGAAGCUUUUUUUUUUCAUACAAAAUUGUCAUUAAAUAUGUCCAAUUUUAUAUUAAAUGAAAAAAGGCAACAAUUAGUUAUUAAUUUUCUGUCCCCUAAUAUUAAGGAAAAUAAUUUAUUAAAGUAUAUCCCAUAUUGGGUAUUUCAAAAAAUACACAUUCAUUCGAAUUUGUUUGUUUGUGAAGACAAGUUUUAUCAAAAUACUUUUUCAAAUAAGGUAUGUUUGGGUGGUACUAUGCAAGAUGAUCAGACAGGGUCAUGCGACACCGUCCGUGAUAAACAUAAGGAANNNNNNNNNNUUAAACAUAAGGAAGAUGGUAUUAAACAUAAGGAAGAUGGUAUUAAAAAUGAUACAUAUAAGGAAAAAGGAUUGGAACUUGAAAUACAUGAUAACGCAUUCAAAUCUGUAUUUAACUUUAAUAAUGUGUUUAAUGACAUAAAUAGACAUACUGAUGUGUAUGACAUACAUUUCGACAAAAAUGAAGAGCAAGAUGAGAAUGUAAAAUAUUCCAAGUUAGAAACACCCGGGAUAAAUAAUGAAACAAAAAAUUAUGAUAGUAAUGGAAUUGAUAAUGUAAAUAGUAGCAAUAAUGGAGAUAGUAAAUUGUUUAAUGUGGAGGAUAUUAUUUCGGGAAAUCCGUUCAACGCGAAAAGUAAACAUUUUGACAUAAAUAGCAUGGAAGAAAAAGGUGGCAUUGCAGAAAAAAGUGGCAUUACAGAAAAAAGUGGUAUUGCAGAAAAAAGUGGUAUUGCAGAAAAAAGUGGUAUUGCAGAAAAAAGUGGCAUUACAGAAAAAAUAAACAUUGCAGAAAUAAAUAGUAUAAAAAAUAAAUAUUAUUAUUUAGACGAUAUAGCUAAUGAAAAAGAGAUAAAUGUGAAUUUUUUUUAUUCUAUUUUUAAAAAUGAAAAUAAAAUGAAAUAUAAUGAAUUAAAUAAGAUAUCACUAUUAAAAUAUCCAUAUAUAUAUAAAGAAUUAUGGAUACAUUUGUAUAAUUAUAAAUACAUAAAUAUUAUACAUAUAUUGAAAGUAAGACAUGGUGGAUAUAAUUUAUUCAUGUCGUUAUUGUAUGCUUUUAUGAAUAUAUCUAAUUAUUAUGACUCUAUUGAAGAUUUGGUUAAACAUAUAAUUAAACAUGAGAUAUAUACUUUAUUUAAUAAUACUAUUGAUUAUGGUACUAAAAUGAAAGUUACCGAACUGUUGAAUAACAUGACUACUUUGAUAUGUUUACAAAACUUAAAGGUACAUGUAUUUAUCGAUCAGUAUUUAGAGCAAUGUUUUUUGGAAAUAGAAAAAAAUAAGGAUAUUAUUAAGACAACCAUAGAUAAAUUAGUAAAUCAGAAAGAAGCUGGUUGUUACGAACAUACGUAUCUAAAACAGGUGAAGCAUUACAACGGCUAUAGCAAUCGUAUUAAUCAUGUUGAUUCUGCUGAACAAAAUAUUAAACGGGAAGAAGCUCUGUAUAUACAGGCAGGCACUGAAGAAAGGUACGAACCGAGUCAUAAUGAAACUUUUGAUCAACCUAUAGACGCAACUAAUAACAUGAAUGUAUUACAUAGCGUGAAAAAUGAUAACAAAUCAAACAAUUUAAAAAAAAAAGAACAAAAUACAGUGCAAAAUAUAGUGCAAAAUAUAGUGCAGAACAAUAGCCAAACAAAACUUGGAACAAAAUAUAGCGAGAUAAACAUAGGAGAUAACACCGAAACGGUAGAAAAGAAUUUUGCAACUAUGGAUGAUACAAUAAAAAGUGAAAAUGAUCAUACUCUCGAAUCUGAACAUAAUACGAAUUUAAAAAAACUAGAAUUUCCAAGUAACGAAAAUUUACUUUAUAAAGAAAAAAUUUAUAUAUUAAAUGAUAAAGAUAAAGAAGAAUUUUAUACCCUAAAAAAGAUAAAAGAGUAUGUCUGUAUUUAUAUCGAAAAGUUUAUAAAUGAAUUAAUAAAAAUACCACAUAAAGAACUAAACAAUAGUAUAAGAUUUUUAUUCUAUACAAUUCAGGAUGAAAUUGAAGGAUUAAAUAAAAAUCAAUUAAAUAAUGAUCAUAAAAUAAAUAUACAUACUUUCACCCUUUGUUUAGACUUAUUUAUUAAUUCAGUUUUAUAUCCAUAUAUUUUUUAUGUGCAUGAGCAACAUGCAAAUGUAGCCAUAAAAAACAAAAACUCUGUACUGUACCAAAAAGUUGUGUUAAUGUUUGCACAGACAUUAAAAGAAAUGUCUAUAUAUAUUUUCCAAAUAUACAAUAUAGGAACCUACGAAGAUAAUUUUAAGACAUUCAUAAAUAAUAUAAAAAAAAAUGAUUUAAUGGCGGGUAAAGUAAAUAAUGAAAGUAUGUUUUUCUUGGACGUUUGUGAGAAGCUGUACAAAUGGAUCAUGAAAAAUUUAGAAGUACCCAGGUACUACUCACCAAUUAGAUGGUCAUGCAACGAAAGUAUAGGAAAGAGUUUUGAAACAGUGGUAAAGGAAAUUGUAAAUAUAGAUAAAUUGGCAACACAAAAAUGUGUUAAUGAACAUAUUGAUUUUAAUAUGUUCUUUAGUAUUAAAAAUGUUAAGGAAAUAUUGGAUUUGUGUUAUUCAAUAAUAAAUGACAUUGAAUAA